This 497-nucleotide ribosomal RNA is filed under the name uncultured bacterium. RNAcentral describes it as "partial 16S ribosomal RNA". It matches the Rfam family "Bacterial small subunit ribosomal RNA", at positions 28 to 507 of the family's 1533-position model. The record is from RNAcentral.
GAUGAACGCUGGCGGCGUGCCUAAUACAUGCAAGUCGAGCGAACAGACGAGGAGCUUGCUCCUCUGACGUUAGCGGCGGACGGGUGAGUAACACGUGGAUAACCUACCUAUAAGACUGGGAUAACUUCGGGAAACCGGAUCUAAUACCGGAUAAUAUAUUGAACCGCAUGGUUCAAUAGUGAAAGACGGUUUUGCUGUCACUUAUAGAUGGAUCCGCGCCGCAUUAGCUAGUUGGUAAGGUAACGGCUUACCAAGGCAACGAUGCGUAGCCGACCUGAGAGGGUGAUCGGCCACACUGGAACUGAGACACGGUCAAGACUCCUACGGGAGGCAGCAGUAGGGAAUCUUCCGCAAUGGGCGAAAGCCUGACGGAGAAAGGCCGCGUGAGGGAGGAAGGUCUUCGGAUCGUAAAACUCUGUUAUAAGGGAAGAACAAAUGUGUAAGUAAAUAUGCACGUCUUGACGGUACCUAAUCAGAAAGCCACGGCUAACUACGUG